UGGGGAAUAUUGCACAAUGGGCGCAAGCCUGAUGCAGCCAUGCCGCGUGAACGAAGAAGGCUUUCGAGUCGUAAAGUUCUUUUAUAUGGGAAGAUAAUGACGGUACCAUAAGAAAAAGCCCCGGCUAACUACGUGCCAGCAGCCGCGGUAAUACGUAGGGGGCUAGCGUUGUCCGGAAUCACUGGGCGUAAAGGGUUCGCAGGCGGAAAUGCAAGUCAGGUGUAAAAGGCAGUAGCUUAACUACUGUAAGCAUUUGAAACUGCAUAUCUUGAGAAGAGUAGAGGUAAGUGGAAUUUUUAGUGUAGCGGUGAAAUGCGUAGAUAUUAAAAAGAAUACCGGUGGCGAAGGCGACUUACUGGGCUCAUUCUGACGCUGAGGAACGAAAGCGUGGGUAGCAAACAGG
RNAcentral lists this ribosomal RNA (403 nucleotides) under Chloroflexota bacterium. RNAcentral's name for it is "Chloroflexi bacterium partial 16S ribosomal RNA". It matches the Rfam family "Bacterial small subunit ribosomal RNA", at positions 355 to 776 of the family's 1533-position model. Lineage: Bacteria; Bacillati; Chloroflexota. The record is from RNAcentral.